This 448-nucleotide ribosomal RNA is filed under the name uncultured bacterium. RNAcentral's name for it is "SSU rRNA". It matches the Rfam family "Bacterial small subunit ribosomal RNA", at positions 26 to 518 of the family's 1533-position model. The record is from RNAcentral.
AGAACGAACGCUGGCGGCAGGCCUCAAACAUGCAAGUCUAGGGGGUGUAGCAAUACAUCACCGGCGGACGGGUGCGUAACACGUGGGAAUAUACCUUUUGGUUCGGAACAACGCAGGGAAACUUGCGCUAAUACCGAAUGUGCCCUUACGGGGAAAGAUUUAUCGCCAAAGGAUUAGCCCGCGUAGGAUUAGCUAGUUGGUGAGGUAAUGGCUCACCAAGGCUCCGAUCCUUAGCUGUUCUGAGAGGAAGAUCAGCCACACUGGGACUGAGACACGGCCCAGACUCCUACGGGAGGCAGCAGUUGGGAAUCUUGGACAAUGGGGGAAACCCUGAUCCAGCCAUGCCGCGUGAGUGAUGAAGGCCUUCGGGUUGUAAACUCUUUCGACGGGGACGAUAAUGACGGUACCCGUAGAAGAACGCUCCGGCUAACUUCGUGCCAGCAGCCGC